This 74-nucleotide transfer RNA is filed under the name Marmota monax (woodchuck). RNAcentral describes it as "tRNA.Ala". It matches the Rfam family "tRNA". Rfam says of the family: Transfer RNA (tRNA) molecules are approximately 80 nucleotides in length. Lineage: Eukaryota; Metazoa; Chordata; Mammalia; Rodentia; Sciuridae. The record is from RNAcentral.
CUGGGGGUGGAGCUCAGUGGUAAAGCACAUGCUUGGCAUGCACAAGGUCCUGGGUUCAAUCCCCAGCUCCCAAG